AUUCCAUGCCGAACUCAGAAGUGAAACACAAUAGCGCCGAUGGUAGUGUGGGGCUUCCCCAUGUGAGAGUAGGACAUCGCCAGGC
RNAcentral lists this ribosomal RNA (85 nucleotides) under Vibrio crassostreae. Lineage: Bacteria; Pseudomonadati; Pseudomonadota; Gammaproteobacteria; Vibrionales; Vibrionaceae. The record is from RNAcentral.